Molecule: small nuclear RNA, 122 nt
Filed under: Actinia tenebrosa (Australian red waratah sea anemone)
Lineage: Eukaryota; Metazoa; Cnidaria; Anthozoa; Actiniaria; Actiniidae
Description: U5 spliceosomal RNA
Rfam family: U5 spliceosomal RNA
About the family: U5 RNA is a component of both types of known spliceosome. The precise function of this molecule is unknown, though it is known that the 5' loop is required for splice site selection and p220 binding, and that both the 3' stem-loop and the Sm site are important for Sm protein binding and cap methylation.
Source: RNAcentral
UUACUCUGGUUUCCCUUCANAUCGNAUAAAUCUUUCGCCUUUUACUAAAGAUUUCCGUGGAGGGGAACAACGCAAUGAGUCUAUGGACUAAUUUUUUGUCGCCCUGCUUUAACGGCGGGGCU